RNAcentral lists this ribosomal RNA (251 nucleotides) under uncultured prokaryote. Its description in RNAcentral is "partial 16S rRNA". It matches the Rfam family "Bacterial small subunit ribosomal RNA", at positions 525 to 775 of the family's 1533-position model. The record is from RNAcentral.
ACGUAGGGGGCGAGCGUUGUCCGGAAUUACUGGGCGUAAAGGGUGCGUAGGCGGCCUUUUAAGUUGGAUGUGAAAUACCCGGGCUUAACCUGGGGGGUGCAUCUAAUACUGGGAGGCUAGAGUGCAGUAGAGGAAAGCGGAAUUCGUAGUGUAGCGGUGAAAUGCAUAGAUAUUAGGAGGAACACCGGUUGCGAAGGCAGCAUGCUGGGCUAUAACUGACGCUGAUGCACGAAAGCGUGGGGAGCAAACAG